UAUGUAGUCCCUUCGUCCCGAAUUAAUUAUCGCAGAAAUUGUUAAAAAUAGAUGUAUUUAGAACUAAAAAUACGUCUAAAUAUAUUCAUUUCUGUGACAAGUAAUUCGGAGCGGAAGGAGUACAUG
This is a non-coding RNA of Triticum urartu, 126 nucleotides long. NCBI's taxonomy places the organism in Eukaryota, Viridiplantae, Streptophyta, Magnoliopsida, Poales, Poaceae. The record is from Rfam.